This 490-nucleotide ribosomal RNA is filed under the name uncultured bacterium. RNAcentral's name for it is "partial 16S ribosomal RNA". It matches the Rfam family "Bacterial small subunit ribosomal RNA", at positions 30 to 507 of the family's 1533-position model. The record is from RNAcentral.
AUUGAACGCUGGCGGCAGGCCUAACACAUGCAAGUCGAACGGUAACAGGAAGCAGCUUGCUGCUUCGCUGACGAGUGGCGGACGGGUGAGUAAUGUCUGGGAAGCUGCCUGAUGGAGGGGGAUAACUACUGGAAACGGCAGCUAAUACCGCAUAAUGUCGCAAGACCAAAGAGGGGGACCUUCGGGCCUCUUGCCAUCGGAUGUGCCCAGAUGGGAUUAGCUUGUUGGUGGGGUAACGGCUCACCAAGGCGACGAUCCCUAGCUGGUCUGAGAGGAUGACCAGCCACACUGGGACUGAGACACGGUCCAGACUCCUACGGGAGGCAGCAGUGGGGAAUAUUGCACAAUGGGCGCAAGCCUGAUGCAGCCAUGCCGCGUGUAUGAAGAAGGCCUUCGGGUUGUAAAGUACUUUCAGCGGGGAGGAAGGGAGUAAAGUUAAUACCUCUGCUCAUUGACGUUACCCGCAGAAGAAGCACCGGCUAACUCCGUG